AUAUUUUCUAAUCAAUGGUAUUUUUUUGACAACGUAAUCAAUGGUAUUUUUAAUUCAUCAUGUGGAUUAAAUUUCAAUUAUGUAAUUUUUUUUCCAGUGUCCUAUACAAACUAAUGGCAUUGACUGUGGCUAUUUUGUCAUGCGAUUUAUGAAAGAGAUAAUAUUGGCAAAUCAAGACAUGAUCCCCGAAAAUUACUUUGGAGAUUACAAAUGUAAAACCUAUUCUAAAGAUAAGCUAGUUGAGGUCGAGGAGGAUUGGGCAACCUUUAUGGUCGAGUAUCUUAGAGACUAUAUUGCUCAGAGACUUACACUCUAAUUGGUUGUGCUGGACUAUAUAGCUCGUCCCGAGUCCUUUAAAAUUUAGGUGUUUUUUUGUUUGUAAUUGUGGCUGCUUUUAUGAGCUUUUUUUUUAUUGGAAACUUUGGUUUGACUAGUAUUAUGACA
Molecule: long non-coding RNA, 444 nt
Organism: Medicago truncatula (barrel medic)
Lineage: Eukaryota; Viridiplantae; Streptophyta; Magnoliopsida; Fabales; Fabaceae
Exons: 3
Source: RefSeq, a predicted model, not a curated record